GGCCAGCCGAGGAGGGUGUCGCCUGGGAGGUCAGCUGUGCAAAUGGUGAAUUAUUCCCUCUACCGACAAGCGUGGCCGGCGGCGGGGCUGGACCAGAAGCAGUGAGCUCCGGCCCCAGUGGCCUCCAGCCCCGCCCUCCUCGCCCCUCCCCUCCCUGCCCCCCAGGCUCCCGGGGCCGGGAACGCCGAGGCCGAAGCCCAGGUGCGGGGCCGAGAACGUUUGGCCAUGACCGAGAUCGUGGGAGGUGACAGCCCUGCUGAGAGCCGUGCAAACGCUGCGUCUGAACGACCCCCUCGCCCGCAGUGACCCUGGGGCCCGGGAAGAGCCCCAGACCUCGUACACUGCCCACCGAUGAGACCCGGCAGCAGACAGGCCCCGAAGACUCGCAGCGCACCCUGAUGCAGCUGCCCUUUCCAAACAGAAGGGGGAGAUGCAGGCGACUCUCAUACUGAUUAUGCCCAAGGCAGGCUGUGAAGAGUCAACCCCACAAGUGGCUUGUUUAGAGAACCAAGUCCGGCUGAAGCCUACGUCCUGGGGUCAGGGUAACUCACACCCAAACUCCGUUCCCACAACUAAAACCUGACUAGAAGGACAGUGCUCUAAUUGCAACCAUAUAUUUUGUCUCUUCUGUUCCUAAUUCAAGAAUGCUUUGUCUUGUCCUUUCCGAGCCUUGUUUACAUUAAUUUCCAUAGAAACUGCACAUAGCUUGCCUUUACCCCAAUUGAUGGCCAAUAAAAGUCAGCGCCUGGGACUGGCCAGAACCUCUGUCAGCUGCACCCGUAUUGGUGGUCCUGGCUCCCCGCUUUCUCUCUCUCAGUUCUGUCUCUCAGUGCAUUUAUUUCUCGGGCCUGUGCCGUAUACUGGGUAGGGUACUGGAACCUAACUGCAGGGGUCUCCAGUACCUGUGUGAGGAACCUUGGCUUAGAUGACAGGUGCCCGAGGACUCGGGAAUGGACCGGUGUUGGAGCCUGGACCAUCCGAUUCCAGAGCCUGUCACCAGCUGUUUCUGAGGCUGGCUCUUCGGGGAGCAGUCUGCUAUGAGAGCCCAAUGAUGGCGCACUGACUGUCUUUCCAGAGAGGCCCCAGCGUUUUUUGUUUUGUUUUGUUUUGAGAUGGAGUCUCACUGUGUACCCCAGGCUGGCCUGGAAUUCCCUGAGAUCCUCCUGCCACAGCCUCCCAGGUGCUGGGAUGACAGGAGUGUGCCCUGCCUGGGCCAUGGCUGAGCGACCCUGACUGGCCCGGGGACCUGGCCCAGGAAUGCAGAGGGGCUCUUGGUCUGGGUCUGGACCGUGAUGGCAGUGGCCGGACCACCGAGACCCCAGCGAUCUCCCGGAACUGGCUCUGCAGCUCACUGUGAACACACCUGGCACUCAACAGCGCCUCUGAGCUCUCAGGCAGGCUCUCGGGGCCUCAGUUUCCCUGUUGUAAAAUAGAGGGGUUGGACUGGAUGAUCGCUAAUGAGUCAGCCACUGAGC
This 1475-nucleotide long non-coding RNA is filed under the name Heterocephalus glaber (naked mole-rat). Its description in RNAcentral is "lncRNA (ENSHGLG00000039766.1)". The record is from RNAcentral. Lineage: Eukaryota; Metazoa; Chordata; Mammalia; Rodentia; Bathyergidae.